UACGGAGGGAGCUAGCGUUGUUCGGAAUUACUGGGCGUAAAGCGCACGUAGGCGGCUCAGCAAGUCAGGGGUGAAAUCCCGGGGCUCAACCCCGGAACUGCCCUUGAAACUGCUAAGCUAGAAUCUUGGAGAGGCGAGUGGAAUUCCGAGUGUAGAGGUGAAAUUCGUAGAUAUUCGCAAGAACACCAGUGGCGAAGGCGGCUCACUGGCCCGAUACUGACGCUGAGGCACGAAAGCGUGGGGAGCAAACAGG
This 253-nucleotide ribosomal RNA is filed under the name uncultured bacterium. Its description in RNAcentral is "partial 16S ribosomal RNA". It matches the Rfam family "Bacterial small subunit ribosomal RNA", at positions 524 to 776 of the family's 1533-position model. The record is from RNAcentral.